AACGAACGCUGGCGGCAUGCCUAACACAUGCAAGUCGAACGAGACCUUCGGGUCUAGUGGCGCACGGGUGCGUAACGCGUGGGAACCUGCCUUUAGGUUCGGAAUAACUCAGAGAAAUUUGAGCUAAUACCGGAUAAUGUCUUCGGACCAAAGAUUUAUCGCCUUUAGAUGGGCCCGCGUUGGAUUAGCUAGUUGGUGGGGUAAAGGCCUACCAAGGCGACGAUCCAUAGCUGGUCUGAGAGGAUGAUCAGCCACACUGGGACUGAGACACGGCCCAGACUCCUACGGGAGGCAGCAGUGGGGAAUAUUGGACAAUGGGCGAAAGCCUGAUCCAGCAAUGCCGCGUGAGUGAUGAAGGC
RNAcentral lists this ribosomal RNA (359 nucleotides) under uncultured bacterium. RNAcentral's name for it is "bacterial SSU rRNA". It matches the Rfam family "Bacterial small subunit ribosomal RNA", at positions 29 to 415 of the family's 1533-position model. The record is from RNAcentral.